Anas platyrhynchos (mallard) is the source of this 4241-nucleotide non-coding RNA. NCBI's taxonomy places the organism in Eukaryota, Metazoa, Chordata, Aves, Anseriformes, Anatidae. The record is from RefSeq and is a predicted model, not a curated record.
CUGCUGCUCUUCCUCCUCCUCCUCCUCACCUGACUUCCUGCCUUCAGCUCAGGGUGGCUCCCCUGGGCUCUCCUGUAGGCUCCUCUGUGACUUGCUCUCAUUACCUACUUUUUAUAUGCCUCCCGCCUUCGUUCCUUGUGUUUUUAGUUCAGUCAUUUUUUUCCUUUUAUUUUUAUUCUCUUUCUUUUCAUUCUUCGGUGUCCAGUGGUUAUGUAGCCAGCCCAUACUGCAUGUUUUUUCUUGGCUGAUGAUGCAACCUCUUCUUACCACCUGGAUUCAAGUCAGGCUCACAGCUUGGCAGUGUGCAGCUGCUCCUCUUCACUCAGGAAGAUCAUUUCUUUCAGCAUUUCUGGUGAACACAGCCCCAGCAGGUCUUCCAGAGGAAGACAACUCUCCAAGAAUCAGGCUGUUGAGUACUUUCUGACCUCCUCUGCCCCAUGCUCUUCCUGUUCAAGGUGCAAGCUAGCGAAGUUGCUUCUCAGCAGCAGGAGGUCUUGUUGGAUGUGCUGUCCUGCAGUGUGCUCCCCUCGGCCCAGGUGCCCUGCAGCUGUGCCUUGGGGGAGAGGAGCUGGGGCUGUGGCAGCAGGCAGUGCAACCCAUGGCAUGGGCAAAAAUCCUCUGUGAUCUCCCAUAACUGGAUGUGCACGGCUGCUUGAAGAGGAGUUGGCAUCCUACGUGCCAAAAGGUUCGUCUGUUCUGUCUCUGUGUAGUAAUUGCAGUAACAUUGGCCUUCUGUUUAAGGGCUCCUGCACAAUGUUUAUUGCAGAAAACGGUCUUUUAGCAAAACUGGACUAAAAUACAACUUUCGCUUCUCUAAAAUGAGAAAUUUCCUGUAUCCCCGGCAUCCCAUUGAAUGGUCUCAUUCAUAUUUCAUUGUACUGAUGAUUAUAUUUGCUAAGAAAUCUCUUUGUUUAAUGAUCAAUCAGGGAAUUUAAUUCAUUAAUCUAAAAGCACUCUGCAGCAUAAUCAAGCUUCAUCUACAGUUUACAAAUAGAGUACUAAAAAAGAAGAAGAUGCAGUUGCUUGGCUGCAUAAAUCUGUCACCCAGUGAGAAACAGAACCCAGAUUUCUUGAGUCUCAUCUCUCUGCUCGCUUCGUGAACCACGGCCUCCUCAUCACUGCUUGAGAAUGAUAAAUGCCUCCCAUUUAUAAGCACAUAUACAUGUUCUGGUAAUACAGUAAACAAUGAAGCCUUUCAGUAUUAAGUGAAAGUAUUCACAAGAGGCCAGGCCUGUGGUCCUUAUGCAGACAAAGCUCUUGUGGGCUUGAGUCAGAAUUUUGCUUUGAGUGAUUACUCGACCGAGCUCAUAAUGUGUAUUUAAACCUUCUCAGGGGAGGAAGACAUCUAGCUUGAAACAAAUCAGAAGUGAGAUUUUUGUUCUGUGGAAUGAAAGAGACUAAAUGCAGUAUCAGCAUGGAUGAGGUCAUAUGAGAAAACGCCCUUAUAGCAGAAGCAAGCUGGCUUUGCUGUUGCUAAAAUUGCUUUCCUUGGGAUCAGUUAGCACAUUUGCCUGUUAUAGUUAAUCUGCCUGGUGACUUAUAGAAGAGGCGUUGCUUUAGUUGCUCAGUGUAUUAUGUAUGUAAGUAGUGACUGCUAUUCCUAAGUGGUAUUCUACAAAAUAAGAUAAAAAUUUAGCAAGAGUCUCACCUUUUGUGGUUUUGCAGAUGCAUUAAUUGGACCUUGAUUUUGGAGGUUAAGUGUCAAAUGAUUCAGGCCCUGUAUUCUCCAGACCACUGCAUCUUAAGUGUACAAAGCUGAACAUUUUUAUUGUAGAUAGUUGCUUAAAAAGACCAUCAGGCAACAGACUGAAGCACCCACACUGUACCAGGAGGGCAUUCUGGAAACAAACGUACCUCAGAGUACUUCUCUAAUACCAAAAAAGAAAAAAAUAUUUCAUUAUUUCUUUCUUCACACACACAAGUUAUUAGUUAUCAAAACAUUUGUCAUGUUGCUGUACUCAUCUCUGGCACGAGCAGUUAGGUGGCCUCCAGUAAGGACAGAUGUUUUGAUGAAGCUUUGGUCUUACUUGGUACAGUAGUUUUUGUGUUCACAAUUGUAAAUAUAUUGAAUAUAUGGUUCUAUUCUUCAGAAGCAAAAUAACCUUAUUUGUAGCAAAUCAGCGCUAAUAUGUAGAUGGAAAUGCAGCAGGCCUGUCCAGUAGAAAAGAAAGGAGUUCUGUAGGAAAUUUCUGGAUUCAGCCACAGUUUGUCUAAAAUUAGCUAUGUGCACACGAUGCAUCAUAUUCUGUACUGCAUUUGUUAUGAUACCAUUUAGUGGUGCCCAAUAUAUGAAUAUUAAAAGGCUAAUACUUGGACCCACUCAGGUUCAUGUUUUGAGAUUCUGGAAUUAAUUACUCUUCCCUUUAUUCCAGCAGGGUCAGCCCAGCUCUAACCAAGGUUUGAAUUUAUACUUCCAACGACUUUUAAUUUUAAAAGUAAAAAGAAGGCAACAGCCCUCCCUGAAGUUUGCUGAUGAGAGAAAGUGGUUUGUCUUGCAUGAGAUGUAAUUCUGAUGGAACUAAAACAUGCUAUUGCUGUACAGAUAUAUUUAGUAAAUAACUGUUUCGUGUUAACAAAGCACCAGAAGGCAGGGAGAAGUCUAUCAAGUGAAUCUUAAUCAUCUGGCAAUAUCUACAUUAAGAUUAUUUUUCCUGUAGCUGUGGCAGAGAAAUCUAAGGACAGACAGUAAGACAGAAACAUCUAUGAAAAGCCUAGAUACUGUUUGCAUAGAUAUAAGGGUGUUAAUAUUUUAUGUUGUUUUCUUCAUUAUUUAAUGAAGAUAUUCUUAUUACUUCAUUCACAAAAAAAAAUGUUUUUUUUUUUGCUGUUGUUGUUUUUUCUUUUAAUUAGAUUUGCUAGAUGAUUAAACAAUUCAGCAGGCUGCAAUACCAAACACUGGAUUAUAGAGCUCAGAACUGAUGCAGAUUUUUCUGUCCUUUUUCCUCCCUUUCUGAGACAGCGUAAUUAAUCAAGGCAAUAUUUUCUAAUAAUUUCUGUGAAAAGCAAUUUGCUUCCUUCUCGUCUCUCAGGUGACAGAUUGUUGAAGCUGAACCUGUGAUCAGACACCGCUUCGGCAGGCAGUUGCCUGUUCCUAUGGACGUUUCCUUGGCCUGGUUGGCCUGAUUUAUAACAGCUGAGGUUGUGUGAAAUUAAAAAUUAAUUAAGUCGAAUGAAUUUGUAAUCAAGCAGACUGGCCUGAGCUGUGGAGAUGCUAAUAGGCUUGUGCCUGUCCCCCUGCAGCCAGCUGAUCCCCCCCAACCCCAGAGCUGCUGUGCAGACAAGACCAGCAUCGAGACAGGGUUGGAGCAGAGGGCAGUGUGGGGCCAGGUUCCUCCUGACCUUGUAGUUGAAGGAUGAAAGCCUAACAGCUUGUUGAAAUAACACAUCAGUAGGACAGCUGUGAGGGAAUCUGCAGCGAGUAGUCCUUGGUGUUCAUCUUUGGUAUCUGCUCUGGCCCUCUGGGGUGCAGAUGUCUCCACACGCCUAAGUGGCUGAGGGAUGAUGCGAUUGCUUUGAAGACCGGGGAGCACUGCACUAACUAACAUGCUGAUCUGGAGGGCUGAAACAUUCGAAAAAGUCAUCGGCUUUUUGAAGUGAAAAAUUCGGCUCUUGCUGUGGCUUGCAGGUGGUGUCUAGCGUGCUUCUGAAGCUUCUUCUGGAAAGGAUGGCAAACCAAACCAACCAUCUUUUCAGCUGAUUUUUCUCCUUCUCCAACAAAUAUUGAAUUGAGUCAAAACUGAGGCUGAAUGGUGACUGAAUGAAAAACUUAACUGGCACAGUUUCCUCUUUGCAGCUCUCUAGAGUAGCUGGAUCCCAUAAGAUUCCUUUUAGGAUUCAGACCUUGCUGUUUGAAUUGUUCACAACUACUGCAGAGGAUCGGGGCAGCCAGGCACCUGUGUUCACUUCAUCUGCUUUGAAGAACUUUCACCCGUGGGGGACAAGUUUCUAACCUGUGGAACAAGGGAAGUCUAGACAAUAUCUGCCCGUUAUCUUAAUUUAUUUUCUGUUUAAUAGCUGCAAUUUUGUUGUUGAGUUUCUCAUAUUUUGAAGAGGAGUGUUGUAAUGUGCUGAUGAAGAAGAUGGAAAGAUUUACCCUUCUAUUUUCUUGCCUGAUGAUAACCAUGAAGAAUGCUGUCCUAUGUUUAUUUAAGGGGUCAGUUAAUAUUUCAUAAGUAAAAUUUUUCCAAUACUGUAGGCUUCAACUACAGGUCAGCAAGAGAAUAAAUCGGAUGAUGAAGCAA